CACGUAGGGCGCGAGCGUUGUCCGGAAUUAUUGGGCGUAAAGAGCUCGUAGGCGGCCUGUUGCGUCCGCUGUGAAAGCCCGGGGCUUAACCCCGGGUCGCAGUGGAUACGGGCAGGCUAGAGGUAGGUAGGGGAGAAUGGAAUUCCCGGUGUAGCGGUGAAAUGCGCAGAUAUCGGAGGAGACCGUGCGAGGCGGUCAGCUGGGC
RNAcentral lists this ribosomal RNA (205 nucleotides) under uncultured bacterium. Its description in RNAcentral is "partial 16S ribosomal RNA". It matches the Rfam family "Bacterial small subunit ribosomal RNA", at positions 524 to 734 of the family's 1533-position model. The record is from RNAcentral.